GAUUAAGUUAUUAAGGGCGCACGGUGGAUGCCUUGGCACUAGAAGCCGAUGAAGGACGUUACUAACGACGAUAUGCUUUGGGGAGCUGUAAGUAAGCUUUGAUCCAGAGAUUUCCGAAUGGGGAAACCCAGCAUGAGUUAUGUCAUGUUAUCGAUAUGUGAAUACAUAGCAUAUCAGAAGGCACACCCGGAGAACUGAAACAUCUUAGUACCUGGAGGAAGAGAAAGAAAAUUCGAUUCCCUUAGUAGCGGCGAGCGAAACGGGAAGAGCCCAAACCAACAAGCUUGCUUGUUGGGGUUGUAGGACACUCUAUACGGAGUUACAAAGGACGACAUUAGACGAAUCAUCUGGAAAGAUGAAUCAAAGAAGGUAAUAAUCCUGUAGUCGAAAAUGUUGUCUCUCUUGAGUGGAUCCUGAGUACGACGGAGCACGUGAAAUUCCGUCGGAAUCUGGGAGGACCAUCUCCUAAGGCUAAAUACUCUCUAGUGACCGAUAGUGAACCAGUACCGUGAGGGAAAGGUGAAAAGCACCCCGGAAGGGGAGUGAAAUAGAACCUGAAACCGUGUGCUUACAAGUAGUCAGAGCCCGUUAAUGGGUGAUGGCGUGCCUUUUGUAGAAUGAACCGGCGAGUUACGAUUUGAUGCAAGGUUAAGCAGUAAAUGUGGAGCCGUAGCGAAAGCGAGUCUGAAUAGGGCGUUUAGUAUUUGGUCGUAGACCCGAAACCAGGUGAUCUACCCUUGGUCAGGUUGAAGUUCAGGUAACACUGAAUGGAGGACCGAACCGACUUACGUUGAAAAGUGAGCGGAUGAACUGAGGGUAGCGGAGAAAUUCCAAUCGAACCUGGAGAUAGCUGGUUCUCUCCGAAAUAGCUUUAGGGCUAGCCUCAAGUGAUGAUUAUUGGAGGUAGAGCACUGUUUGGACGAGGGGCCCCUCUCGGGUUACCGAAUUCAGACAAACUCCGAAUGCCAAUUAAUUUAACUUGGGAGUCAGAACAUGGGUGAUAAGGUCCGUGUUCGAAAGGGAAACAGCCCAGACCACCAGCUAAGGUCCCAAAAUAUAUGUUAAGUGGAAAAGGAUGUGGCGUUGCCCAGACAACUAGGAUGUUGGCUUAGAAGCAGCCAUCAUUUAAAGAGUGCGUAAUAGCUCACUAGUCGAGUGACACUGCGCCGAAAAUGUACCGGGGCUAAACAUAUUACCGAAGCUGUGGAUUGUCCUUUGGACAAUGGUAGGAGAGCGUUCUAAGGGCGUUGAAGCAUGAUCGUAAGGACAUGUGGAGCGCUUAGAAGUGAGAAUGCCGGUGUGAGUAGCGAAAGACGGGUGAGAAUCCCGUCCACCGAUUGACUAAGGUUUCCAGAGGAAGGCUCGUCCGCUCUGGGUUAGUCGGGUCCUAAGCUGAGGCCGACAGGCGUAGGCGAUGGAUAACAGGUUGAUAUUCCUGUACCACCUAUAAUCGUUUUAAUCGAUGGGGGGACGCAGUAGGAUAGGCGAAGCGUGCGAUUGGAUUGCACGUCUAAGCAGUAAGGCUGAGUAUUAGGCAAAUCCGGUACUCGUUAAGGCUGAGCUGUGAUGGGGAGAAGACAUUGUGUCUUCGAGUCGUUGAUUUCACACUGCCGAGAAAAGCCUCUAGAUAGAAAAUAGGUGCCCGUACCGCAAACCGACACAGGUAGUCAAGAUGAGAAUUCUAAGGUGAGCGAGCGAACUCUCGUUAAGGAACUCGGCAAAAUGACCCCGUAACUUCGGGAGAAGGGGUGCUCUUUAGGGUUAACGCCCAGAAGAGCCGCAGUGAAUAGGCCCAAGCGACUGUUUAUCAAAAACACAGGUCUCUGCUAAACCGUAAGGUGAUGUAUAGGGGCUGACGCCUGCCCGGUGCUGGAAGGUUAAGAGGAGUGGUUAGCUUCUGCGAAGCUACGAAUCGAAGCCCCAGUAAACGGCGGCCGUAACUAUAACGGUCCUAAGGUAGCGAAAUUCCUUGUCGGGUAAGUUCCGACCCGCACGAAAGGCGUAACGAUUUGGGCACUGUCUCAACGAGAGACUCGGUGAAAUCAUAGUACCUGUGAAGAUGCAGGUUACCCGCGACAGGACGGAAAGACCCCGUGGAGCUUUACUGUAGCCUGAUAUUGAAAUUCGGCACAGCUUGUACAGGAUAGGUAGGAGCCUUUGAAACGUGAGCGCUAGCUUACGUGGAGGCGCUGGUGGGAUACUACCCUAGCUGUGUUGGCUUUCUAACCCGCACCACUUAUCGUGGUGGGAGACAGUGUCAGGCGGGCAGUUUGACUGGGGCGGUCGCCUCCUAAAAGGUAACGGAGGCGCUCAAAGGUUCCCUCAGAAUGGUUGGAAAUCAUUCAUAGAGUGUAAAGGCAUAAGGGAGCUUGACUGCGAGACCUACAAGUCGAGCAGGGUCGAAAGACGGACUUAGUGAUCCGGUGGUUCCGCAUGGAAGGGCCAUCGCUCAACGGAUAAAAGCUACCCCGGGGAUAACAGGCUUAUCUCCCCCAAGAGUUCACAUCGACGGGGAGGUUUGGCACCUCGAUGUCGGCUCAUCGCAUCCUGGGGCUGUAGUCGGUCCCAAGGGUUGGGCUGUUCGCCCAUUAAAGCGGUACGCGAGCUGGGUUCAGAACGUCGUGAGACAGUUCGGUCCCUAUCCGUCGUGGGCGUAGGAAAUUUGAGAGGAGCUGUCCUUAGUACGAGAGGACCGGGAUGGACAUACCUCUGGUGUACCAGUUGUCGUGCCAACGGCAUAGCUGGGUAGCUAUGUGUGGACGGGAUAAGUGCUGAAAGCAUCUAAGCAUGAAGCCCUCCUCAAGAUGAGAUUUCCCAACUUCGGUUAUAAGAUCCCUCAAAGAUGAUGAGGUUAAUAGGUUCGAGGUGGAAGCAUGGUGACAUGUGGAGCUGACGAAUACUAAUCGAUCGAAGACUUAAUCAA
RNAcentral lists this ribosomal RNA (2923 nucleotides) under Staphylococcus aureus. RNAcentral's name for it is "23S ribosomal RNA". It matches the Rfam family "Bacterial large subunit ribosomal RNA". The record is from RNAcentral. Lineage: Bacteria; Bacillati; Bacillota; Bacilli; Caryophanales; Staphylococcaceae.